RNAcentral lists this ribosomal RNA (360 nucleotides) under Triticum aestivum (bread wheat). RNAcentral's name for it is "partial small subunit ribosomal RNA". The record is from RNAcentral. Lineage: Eukaryota; Viridiplantae; Streptophyta; Magnoliopsida; Poales; Poaceae.
AUGGACCUAUUUGAUGAGUUCUUUUUUGGGUCCAUCGCCCUAGCCCGGCUGAACUAUGGGAUAAUCACCCUCGUCCCCAAAGUGACUGGGGCCUCGGACAUCCGUCAAUUCCGUCCGAUUACGGUGAUUAACGUCAUCUUCCGCAUCCUCGCGAAGGGGUACACCAUCAGGGUGGCCCCUUUGGGCGACCGGAUCACCCACCCUGAUCAGUCAACCUUCAUCCAGGGGCGCCAUAUCCUUGACGGAGUCUUGGUGUUCCACGAAGCUCUCCAUGAGGUGCACUCCAAACAUCUCAAGGCAGUCUUCCUGAAACUGGAUUUCCACAAGGCUUAUGACACGGUCAGUUGGACCUUCGCCCGG